Molecule: ribosomal RNA, 399 nt
Filed under: uncultured bacterium
Lineage: Bacteria
Description: bacterial SSU rRNA
Rfam family: Bacterial small subunit ribosomal RNA
Source: RNAcentral
UAUUGGACAAUGGGGGAAACCCUGAUCCAGCGACGCCGCGUGAGUGAAGAAGUAUUUCGGUAUGUAAAGCUCUAUCAGCAGGGAAGAAAGAAAUGACGGUACCUGAGUAAGAAGCCCCGGCUAACUACGUGCCAGCAGCCGCGGUAAUACGUAGGGGGCAAGCGUUAUCCGGAUUUACUGGGUGUAAAGGGAGCGUAGACGGCAGCGCAAGUCUGGAGUGAAAUGCCGGGGCCCAACCCCGGAACUGCUUUGGAAACUGUGCAGCUUGAGUGCGGGAGAGGUAAGUGGAAUUCCUAGUGUAGCGGUGAAAUGCGUAGAUAUUAGGAAGAACACCAGUGGCGAAGGCGGCUUACUGGACCGUAACUGACGUUGAGGCUCGAAGGCGUGGGGAGCAAACAG